CCCUUAGAUGUCCGGGGCCGCACGCGCGCUACACUGAAGGAAUCAGCGUGGCUUUCUCCCUGACCCGAAAGGGUUGGGAAACCCGUUGAAUCUCCUUCGUGAUAGGGAUUGGGGCUUGAAAUUGUUCCCCAUGAACGAGGAAUUCCCAGUAAGCGCGAGUCAUAAGCUCGCGUUGAUUACGUCCCUGCCCUUUGUACACACCGCCCGUCGCGACUACCGAUUGAACGGUUUAGUGAGGGCCUCGGAUUGGUCUCGGCCCGCUCUUUACCGGGCGGCGCCGUUGGUCGAGAAGACGCUCGAACUUGAUCGUUUAGAGGAAGUAAAAGUCGUAACA
RNAcentral lists this ribosomal RNA (334 nucleotides) under uncultured eukaryote. Its description in RNAcentral is "partial 18S ribosomal RNA". It matches the Rfam family "Eukaryotic small subunit ribosomal RNA", at positions 1470 to 1796 of the family's 1831-position model. The record is from RNAcentral.